RNAcentral lists this ribosomal RNA (468 nucleotides) under uncultured bacterium. RNAcentral describes it as "partial 16S ribosomal RNA". It matches the Rfam family "Bacterial small subunit ribosomal RNA", at positions 28 to 507 of the family's 1533-position model. The record is from RNAcentral.
GACGAACGCUGGCGGCGUGCUUAACACAUGCAAGUCGAACGGAAAGGCCCUGCUUUUGUGGGGUGCUCGAGUGGCGAACGGGUGAGUAACACGUGAGUAACCUGCCCUUGACUUUGGGAUAACUUCAGGAAACUGGGGCUAAUACCGGAUAGGAGCUCCUGCUGCAUGGUGGGGGUUGGAAAGUUUCGGCGGUUGGGGAUGGACUCGCGGCUUAUCAGCUUGUUGGUGGGGUAGUGGCUUACCAAGGCUUUGACGGGUAGCCGGCCUGAGAGGGUGACCGGCCACAAUGGGACUGAGAUACGGACCAGACUCCUACGGGAGGCAGCAGUGGGGAAUAUUGCACAAUGGGCGGAAGCCAGAUGCAGCAACGCCGCGUGCGGGAUGACGGCCUUCGGGUUGUAAACCGCUUUCGCCUGUGACGAAGCGUGAGUGACGGUAAUGGGUAAAGAAGCACCGGCUAACUACGUG